AAAUUUAUAAAAUAUAAUAAUAAAAUCUAAAAUUUAAUAAUCUGAAGAAAAAUACGAACAAACUAACACGACAACUUGAUACCGCGCGCUGUUUUAUAUUUAUGGAAUAUUCCUAUCACCUGCGUGGGGCGCGCGCGCACUUUGCCGUGCGCCGGCGCCGCCGCCAGUGCCGCUCGAUCAGCUGUCGAGGAACGACAUCUACUAGUGCUCUGUACGGCACCCUGCCGCGUACGCCCUCGUAUUAAUUCUCACACUGUACUGAUUUUGCUAGUGGCUCAUAUUCACCUUGCACCCUAUCAAGGCUUAAAAUUAUUAAUAAAUAUUAGAAUACUUGAAUAUACAAGUGAUUUAGUGUUAGUUCGUCCCGUACUGGGGACUUCUAAGCGGUUGAAGACCUGUGCUGAAGCUGGCUGAUGGAACUGCAUCCUGCAUUGCUCCGCUGACUGACUGUCGCCGAGGCCAUCCCGACACCCCCGACUGACACCAAACAGGAGAGUGCGGUGUUCGCAACCUUCUACGUGGUCCGACCUUUGUACCGGCCUUACUCAUUGCCCUCUCAUUACGUAUUUACCUAGGUUACUGUUAAGUUUAUGCGAACAUUUUAAAUAUAGUUUAAUUUUUAUUUUUA
This is a long non-coding RNA of Trichoplusia ni (cabbage looper), 628 nucleotides long. RefSeq lists it as uncharacterized. NCBI's taxonomy places the organism in Eukaryota, Metazoa, Arthropoda, Insecta, Lepidoptera, Noctuidae. The transcript is spliced from 2 exons. The record is from RefSeq and is a predicted model, not a curated record.